RNAcentral lists this transfer RNA (72 nucleotides) under Pseudopyrenochaeta lycopersici CRA-PAV_ER 1211. Its description in RNAcentral is "tRNA-Asp (GTC) (tRNA-Asp-GTC-3-1)". It matches the Rfam family "tRNA". From Rfam's summary of the family: Transfer RNA (tRNA) molecules are approximately 80 nucleotides in length. Lineage: Eukaryota; Fungi; Ascomycota; Dothideomycetes; Pleosporales; Pseudopyrenochaetaceae. The record is from RNAcentral.
UCCCAGAUAGUAUAGUGGUCAGUAUUUCGGCUUGUCACGCCGGAGGCCGGAGUUCGAUUCUCCGUCUGGGAG